UUCUCGCAUCACUCGUAUACAGGUCCCUACUCCACUGCAUUCUGAAUAUAAAUACAUCACAAAUCUCUUCACAUCAAUGCAAAGGAAAAAGUGAAUACUAUAUACCAAGCAUUAUCAAACACUUUCCAACCAUGAAGGCCAUUUUCUUUGCUUUCUUACUCUUUGCUUCUCUUUUCUUCCUUCUCACUUCAACUCUCGCUCGAGAACUCAAGGAAGGAACAUUUCAGACAGGACAUCCUAAUAAUCCUGCUGUUAAUUGUACUCGGGGUCAUCGUUAUGCAAGUUGCCUUCCAAAAUCGACUCCACCAUCACCAACAUGCUCAUCUUAUUCACGCAAUUGCUGAUAUAUCUGAAUGAAUUAGAUAGUUUUACCUGUUCCUGAUGCCAUUUAAUACUAGCUAUGUUAAACCAUGGUGCUACCAUCUCUAUGUUUUGCCUUAUUUGGCUGAAUAAUGUGUUUUUCCAGUUUGCUAUUUAAUAAAGGUUUGGCCUAGGCCAUUUCAAUA
Molecule: long non-coding RNA, 506 nt
Organism: Vigna unguiculata (cowpea)
Lineage: Eukaryota; Viridiplantae; Streptophyta; Magnoliopsida; Fabales; Fabaceae
Source: RefSeq, a predicted model, not a curated record